AGAGUUUGAUCCUGGCUCAGAAUCAACGCUGGCGGCGCGCUUAACACAUGCAAGUCGCACGAGAAAGUGGAGCAAUCCAUGAGUAAAGUGGCGUACGGGUGAGUAACACGUGGAUCAUCUACCUCUUGGUGGGGAAUAACGCUGGGAAACCGGCGCUAAUACCGCAUAAGCCUGAAAAGGGAAAGCAGCAAUGCGCCGAGAGAGGAGUCCGCGGCCGAUUAGCUAGUUGGUAGGGUAAUGGCCUACCAAGGCAAUGAUCGGUAGCCGGCCUGAGAGGGCACACGGCCACACUGGCACUGAAACACGGGCCAGACUCCUACGGGAGGCAGCAGUGGGGAAUCUUGCACAAUGGGGGCAACCCUGAUGCAGCGACGCCGCGUGAGUGAUGAAGCCCUUCGGGGUGUAAAGCUCUUUCGGCAGGAACGAUAAUGACGGUACCUGAAGAAGAAGCUGCGGCUAACUACGUGCCAGCAGCCGCGGUAAUACGUAGGCAGCAAGCGUUGUUCGGAAUUACUGGGCGUAAAGAGUGCGUAGGCGGUUAACUAAGUUUGGUGUGAAAUCUCCCGGCUUAACUGGGAGGGUGCGCCGAAAACUGGCUAGCUAGAGUGUGGGAGAGGAUAGUGGAAUUCCUGGUGUAGCGGUGAAAUGCGUAGAUAUCAGGAGGAACACCUGCGGUGUAGACGGCUAUCUGGACCAUGACUGACGCUGAGGCACGAAAGCGUGGGUAGCAAACAGGAUUAGAUACCCUAGUAGUCC
RNAcentral lists this ribosomal RNA (756 nucleotides) under uncultured bacterium. Its description in RNAcentral is "bacterial SSU rRNA". It matches the Rfam family "Bacterial small subunit ribosomal RNA", at positions 8 to 796 of the family's 1533-position model. The record is from RNAcentral.